This is an RNA transcript of Syngnathus typhle (broad-nosed pipefish), 4618 nucleotides long. RefSeq lists it as uncharacterized. The transcript is spliced from 2 exons. The record is from RefSeq and is a predicted model, not a curated record. NCBI's taxonomy places the organism in Eukaryota, Metazoa, Chordata, Actinopteri, Syngnathiformes, Syngnathidae.
AUAUGAGCUACUUAGAUUUUAUAUUAACACAUUUCUGAUUGUUGGGAGCUGUUUUUUGCUCAUUGUUUUAUGAAAAUCAAUGUUUGAUUGCGAAACGCAACAGGCAUUGCUGCAAAAGGGUCCUUGCUGCAGAACCAAUCAAAACUCGUAACAACAUCACGUGACUUGAUGUCUCCCAACGGCAUUCCUCCAACUCAGGAACUAGAAAGUAAAUAUUGCCUCCGCUCUAUUGACAACAAUGGACUUUGUUUGCAUUUGAUGCUCAACCUUGGACGACACUACAGAUAUCUUCUCGGCCUAAUCUAAUCUCACCUAGCCUGGGGGGUUUAUCGUAAUCUUGCAAGAUUAGAUCUUGAGCUGGACACCCCUGCACUGUGGUUACACAUCACAAAAUCAACAUUCUGUUGAUUCCUGUCUAUUCCAGGCUAGAUCUGACCUUGACUCAUACAUGCUGUGUCCAUGUUACAUGAUUAAUACACAUCUCUCACACCCAUAUUGAUAUCUUUCCCCUGAAGAGACAAACCAGGGCAAAUUUCACGGCCAGUCCAGUAAAAUAAAAUACAGUCAUGUGUCAUAUGUUUAAAAUAAAGUAAAUUUGGUACAGACCUUUUUCGGUCUUUGUCAUUCAUUCCUUCCUCUUGCGGGCAGCCUCUAUGUUCCGUGUGUUUGCAAAUUGCACGUAGCAUUCUCUGUGGUGACCUGCAUUAGCUAGUACAUCUGGAAUCGGGCUGUUAACUGUUAAAUUUAAUGUUUUAACAGAAAAUUGUGCUAUUGCACUCUCUGGGACAUCUACCGUUUUUUUCCGUAUAUAAUGCGCAACAUUUAACUACCGUAUUUUGCGCCCUAUUAGGCGCACCGGGGUAUAAGGCGCACCUUCAAUGAACGGCCCAUUUUAAAACUUUGUCCAUAUAUAAGGCGGACCGGAUUAUAAAGCGCAUGAAAUAGAAGCUUUACUGCAACAAACUGAGGUUGACUAGGGUUGCAGUAUGCACCCACUAGCCAAUAACCAACGAGCCUUCUGUAAACAAUCCCGUUUCUCAAACGAUCUCCUAUAAAAUGAUCAGAACUGACUAAAGUUCGAUCUAACGCAUUGGUACUACUUACCUAUGUUUCCCUUCCAUAUUAAUCCGUAGAUUUACUCGAAACAUGAACAGAGCAGCCUAUUUUGACAUGAAAUAGCCUCGCGCGUAUAGCAGCUAUCGUUAUAGCAUUAGCCAUCCGCAAUUUCCUAUGAGCCUCAGCUCGCAAUCUCCCAUGAGCCUCAGCAAAGUGUAAACAAUCGCGUUUCUCAAACGAUCUCCUAUAAAAUGAUCAGAACUGACUAAAGUUCGAUCUAACGCAUUGGUACUACUUACCUAUGUUUCCCUUCCAUAUCGAUCUGUAGAUUUACUCGAAACAUUAACAGAGCAGCCUAUUUUGACAUGAAAUAGCCUCGCGCGUAUAGCAGCUAUCGUUAUAGCAUUAGCCAUCCGCAAUUUCCUAUGAGCCUCAGCUCGCAAUCUCCCAUGAGCCUCAGCAAAGUGUAAACAAUCGCGUUUCUCAAACAAUCUCCUAUAAAAUGAUCAGGACUGACUAAAGUUCGAUCUAACGCAUUGGUACUACUUACCUAUGUUUCCCUUCCAUAUCGAUCCGUAGAUUUACUCGAAACAUUAACGGAGCAGCCUAUUUUGAAAUGAAAUAGCCUCGCGGGUACAACAGCUAUUCGGUGACGCUCCCUGACUACAGUUACCGUAAUGUUGGGAAGCGAUGCGACCUUGUAAUUUACUAGUCGUACUAAAACGUACUGAGGUUAAUUUUGGGUUCUAUGCGUCAAUGUAUGUCACCUUAAAUGGCAACCUUGCAGCAGUGAGAAGACCCUAAGCUAUUUUUGCGGUACAGAGAAGCUCUAGUUUCAGUAAUGUGUAGGUACUUAGAAUAUGGAAGGGCCAUUCGUCCGUGACCAGGAAGAUCUUUGUCCAUGCCCUUUUACGGGCAUCGGAAGUAACCAGUAGAGUGAGACUCGGACCGCAGCUGUUGUCUUACGAGGUACAAAUGAUGGGGGAGAACAGACAGAAGGGGAGCGGGAAGAGCAAGAAGCGCGGAAGGCGUGCAGAGGGGCGAAGGACAAGAGCAGGCGCGCAGGGGCGCAUGGGGCAAGAGCAAGAAGCGCGAGGGCCUUUUUGGGGCGAACAUCUGUGCUGUCGAGAGCUGAAACAUCUUUGCUCUUGGGGCCACUCUAACUUUUGGAGAGACAUCACUUUGACAUCAGUUGAAUAUAUAUUUUCCCAAUCAGCCGUGUGUCACCGAAGUGCUUCCUUACCCGGACCAGCCAUCGUCCACUGAGUGUUUUUUUUGGAGACCAGCGAAACAACAAAGACCAUUCACCACAGUACCAAAACAUUUUGGCAGAGCACUGUGUACAACCAGUAUGGAUCAACAAAUUCAUCACUUGAUCCAUAUACCGUUUUUUUCCGUGUAUAGUGCGCAAAAUUUAACGAAUUUAUUGUCCUAAAAUCUGGGGUGCGCAUUAUACAUGGGUACAAAUUUUUUUUUUAUUUAUUUUAUUUUUAUAUAUAAAAAAAGCUCUAUUUCCCUCUUUGACAGCCAAAUCGAUUGCUUUUAACUGAAAAGCUGCAUCAAAUGCAUUUCUUUGUGUUUUCCAUGAGGGUGUGUGCAUGAUGCGCGAAAUGUUCAAAACACAAACUAGGACGUCUUCUUCGGCGCAUUAUUUCUCGCUGACAGACGAAGAAGAAAUAAUAAUAAUAAUAAUAAUAAUAAUAAUAAUAAGAAGAAGAAGAAGAAGAAGAAGCAAUCCUGCUAGAGCGCCCCCUGGAGGCCGUAAAAAUCCAUAAAUACGCCACGCCGCCAUUUAAGCCUCAGGGUUCAAAGUAACCUUCUGAAUAAAAUGCAUUAAAAGUUCACGUUCAUUACAACUUGUUUUUGGUGAGCAAAAUGUCAGAAGAAUUUAAUUUAAAUGCUGACUGAUUAGGUUUUAAUACAAUGCAGAUGGUCCAAACAGCGCCACUGCUUUGUGUAGUCUCUGAGUCACAUGGCAGAGUAAGAGAAAGGGUUUAGAGCCCUUUGACGCAGGUCACCUAGCGUACAGUCCUACUAAAGCUCAUAAUAGUCACAAGUAACACAGCCAGAAUAAGCAGCAGCAAUAGUAGUGUUUCAAAAUAGUAUUUUUGUUGUUGUUUUUCUCUUCAAGAUACCGCAGUGUAUAAAAGUGAAUUUUAUUUUAUUUUUUGCCAUUUUUCACAUGUUAGUCACCUAAAUGUUGAACAGAGGGUGUGUUUUACCGAAGUCAAAUUCCUUGUUUGGCACGCUCAAACAUGGCGAGUAAAAAACUCUUGAAUCUUCAAGUGAUCAAGUCAUCACAAAAAUCACGAAAAAAUCCUUAAAUACCGUUUUUUUCCGUGUAUAGUGCGCAAAAUUUAACGAAUUUAUUGUCCUAAAAUCUGGGGUGCGCAUUAUACAUGGGUACAAACAUUUUUAAUUUUUUUUUUUUAAUGUUUUUUUUUUUUUUUUUCUUUUUUUUUAGAAAACAAAACCAACAACAGGACUGACCGACAAAGUCGUGGAACAAAAAGACAGGGUGACAUUACCAAAGACAGGAACAGAAAGCAAACAGACAUCAUGACAGUAACACAUGCAGUGAUCCGACGGUGAGCGAGGGGCAGACAGGACUUAAAUACAAAACACGUUACAUGGAUUGAGGUGACACAGGAAGAGAGGGGCGACGCAAACAGAAACUAUGGCAACCUACACACAUAGCAAAACUGGGGACGAGACGUGACAAAUGUCCCUCGAAAUGAAACUUGAAAUCACCAAGUUUUGGUUUCCAGGGUUUUUUUAUUCCUCUUCAACGUCUCUCCCAUACAGAGCCGCCUUUUUCACGUCCGCACGCCUCUUUCCCGUGCGCGCACGGAGCGCGGUGGUGCGUUUAUGGGCAGUCGGAGAAAUCAACGCCAACAAAAAAAAUUACAUCCAGCCUAGUUAAGACCAUACCAAAGACUAUAAAAAUGGGACCCAUUGCCUCCCUGCGUGUGUGACGAUCAUUGGGACUUAAAAAAAAAAAGAAUAAAUAAAAAAUUCAUAAAAAAAAAAUUCAUAAAAAUUGGGUGCGUAUUAUACAUGGGUACAGGCUUUUUUCCAGCAUCAGCAUGCCAUUUUUAGGGUGCGUAUUAUACAUGGGGGCGCACUAUACACGGAAAAAAAACGGUAUAAGGCGCACCGGACUAUAAGGCGCACUGUCGACUUUUGAUAAAAAUUUAAGUUUUUAGGUGCGCCUUAUAGGGCGGAAAAUACGGUAAUUUAUUGUCCUAAAAUCUGGGGUGCGCAUUAUAUAUGGGUACAAAUAUAUAUAUAUAUAUAUAUUUUUUUAAAUUUUAUUUAUUUAUUUAUUUUUUACAGAAAAUCAUGGUACAACAAAACCAACAACAGGACUGACCGACAAAGUCGUGGAACAAAAAGACAGGGUGACAUUACCAAAGACAGGAACAGAAACCAAACAGACAUCAUGACAGUAACACAUGCAAUGAUCCGACGGUGAGCGAGGGGCAGACAGGACUUAAAUACAAAACACGUUACAUUGAUUGAGGUGACACAGGAAGGGAGGGGCGACGCGAACAGAAACUAU